ACAUUCAGCUCAUUCAUUGAUUUAUUUAUUUUUUUGUGCUUUGACUUGAGAUGGGGUAGUGAAAUCUCUUCAACUUAAACAAAAAGUCCUCAAACUGCUUAAUGCCCCUCCCACUCAAAAUUUACUGUCAAACUCAACAUCAAACAAAGGGAAUUCUACCUUGUGGAUUUAAAUCAAACACCGAGAAUUGCUGCCGCUUAGCUUUUGCUCAGUCUUGUUUGACUCCCCUGCUGGGGGGGGCAGGAUGCGGUUGGGGGUGGGGGGUUAAGUGAUUUUCUUUCUUUGACAUAUAAGGGAAAGGCAAGUUGUCUUCUCUUUGACUUGCCACCCUCUCUGGUAUUCCGUCCCUUCUAUCUCGACACCCUCCUUUCUCGUCUCCUCCCGCUUUUGUCGUUUUGGCGCCAGUGAAAGGCUUAACGUUGGCCCGCGUCCCUGAGGGAGACCAAAAGGAAAUGUGACUUGUGGGGACAUGAAAGAAAAGCUUAAUUAUUUCCCAAUGUCAUUAGAGGGAUCAAAAAAGGGUUAGAAGGCUUAAUGGGAAGGGCGAGAACAAGAAGGUGGGAUGGCCAAACGCUCAAUAAAACAAUUUUUAAAAAAAU
Long non-coding RNA from Hippocampus comes (tiger tail seahorse), 599 nucleotides. RefSeq lists it as uncharacterized. The transcript has 2 exons. The record is from RefSeq and is a predicted model, not a curated record. Lineage: Eukaryota; Metazoa; Chordata; Actinopteri; Syngnathiformes; Syngnathidae.